ACAUAAGACAUGCAAGUCGAACGGAAGUCGUUAUAACAGACGUGGAAUGAAGAUUUAUCGGAAUGAAGCAGAAGAUAUAACAAUGGCUUAGUGGCGGACUGGUGAGUAACACGUAAGUAACCUGGCUAUUAGAGGGGAAUAACAGUGAGAAAUCAUUGCUAAUACCGCAUAAGCUUGUAAUAUCGCAUGAUAUAGCAAGAAAAGGAGUAAUCCGCUAAUAGAUGGGCUUGCGGCUGAUUAGCUAGUUGGUUAGGUAACGGCUGACCAAGGCAACGAUCAGUAGCCGGGCUGAGAGGCUCAUCGGCCACAUUGGGACUGAGAUACGGCCCAGACUCCUACGGGAGGCAGCAGUCGGGAAUAUUGCGCAAUGGAGGAAACUCCUGACGCAGUGACGCCGCGUAUAGGAAGAAGGUUUUAGGAUUGUAAACUAUUUUAGACAGGGAAGAUAAAAGACGGUACCUGUAGAAUAAGCUCCGGCUAACUACGUGCCAGCCGCUGC
Molecule: ribosomal RNA, 499 nt
Filed under: uncultured bacterium
Lineage: Bacteria
Description: bacterial SSU rRNA
Rfam family: Bacterial small subunit ribosomal RNA
Source: RNAcentral